RNAcentral lists this ribosomal RNA (496 nucleotides) under uncultured bacterium. Its description in RNAcentral is "partial 16S ribosomal RNA". It matches the Rfam family "Bacterial small subunit ribosomal RNA", at positions 28 to 506 of the family's 1533-position model. The record is from RNAcentral.
GAUGAACGCUGGCGGCGUGCCUAAUACAUGCAAGUCGAGCGAACAGACGAGGAGCUUGCUCCUCUGACGUUAGCGGCGGACGGGUGAGUAACACGUGGAUAACCUACCUAUAAGACUGGGAUAACUUCGGGAAACCGGAGCUAAUACCGGAUAAUAUAUUGAACCGCAUGGUUCAAUAGUGAAAGACGGUUUUGCUGUCACUUAUAGAUGGAUCCGCGCCGCAUUAGCUAGUUGGUAAGGUAACGGCUUACCAAGGCAACGAUGCGUAGCCGACCUGAGAGGGGGAUCGCCGCCACUGGAAGUGAGACGCGGUCCAGACUCCUACGGGAGGCAGCAGUAGGGAAUCUUCCGCAAAGGGCGAAAGCCUGACGGAGCAACGCCGGGUGAGUGAUGAAGGUCUUCGGAUCGUAAAACUCUGUUAUUAGGGAAGACCAAAUGUGUAAGUAACUAUGCACGUCUUGACGGUACCGAAACAGAAAGCCACGGCUAACUACGU